GAUGAACGCUGGCGGCGUGCCUAAUACAUGCAAGUCGAGCGAACAGAUGAGGAUCUUGCUCCUCUGACGUUAGCGGCGGACGGGUGAGUAACACGUGGAUAACCUACCUAUAAGACUGGGAUAACUUCGGGAAACCGGAGCUAAUACCGGAUAAUAUAUUGAACCGCAUGGUUCAAUAGUGAAAGACGGGUUUGCUGUCGCUUAUAGAUGGAUCCGCGCCGCAUUAGCUAGUUGGUAAGGUAACGGCUUACCAAGGCAACGAUGCGUAGCCGACCUGAGAGGGUGAUAGGCCACAUUGGAACGGAGACACGGUCCAGACUCCUAAGGGAGGCAGCAGUAGGGAAUCUUCCGCAAUGGGCGAAAGCCUGACGGAGCAACGCCGCGUGAGUGAUGAAGGUCUUCGGAUCGUAAAACUCUGUUAUUAGGGAAGAACAAAUGUGUAAGUAACUAUGCACGUCUUGACGGUACCUAAUCAGAAAGCCACGGCUAACUACGUG
Molecule: ribosomal RNA, 497 nt
Filed under: uncultured bacterium
Lineage: Bacteria
Description: partial 16S ribosomal RNA
Rfam family: Bacterial small subunit ribosomal RNA
Source: RNAcentral